RNAcentral lists this unclassified non-coding RNA (402 nucleotides) under soil metagenome. RNAcentral describes it as "partial contains 5.8S ribosomal RNA, internal transcribed spacer 2, and large subunit ribosomal RNA". The stretch from base 1 to 121 matches the Rfam family "5.8S ribosomal RNA", at positions 35 to 154 of the family's 154-position model. The record is from RNAcentral.
GAUGAAGAACGCAGCGAAAUGCGAUAAGUAAUGUGAAUUGCAGAAUUCAGUGAAUCAUCGAAUCUUUGAACGCACCUUGCGCCCUUUGGCUAUUCCGAAGGGCAUGCCUGUUUGAGUAUCAUGAAAACCUCAACUCUCAUGGCUUGCCAUGAUGAGCUUGGACUCUGGGGGUCUUGCUGGCUUUACGGUCAGCUCCUCUCAAAUAAAUCAGCUUGCCGGUGUUUGGUGGGAUCACAGAUGUGAUAACUAUCUACGCUUGUGGUUUUCCGCCAGGUAACCUUCAGCAAUGGAGGUUCGCUGGAGCUCAUAAAUGUCUCUCCUCAGCGAGGACAGAUUUUGACCGUUUGAUCUCAAAUCAGGUAGGACUACCCGCUGAACUUAAGCAUAUCAAUAAGCGGAGGA